CCCGUACGUGGUCGCUGGCUAUUGCCGUGUAAAGCCCCUUCGACGAGUCGAGUUGUUUGGGAAUGCAGCUCUAAAUGGGAGGUACAUUUCUUCUAAAGCUAAAUAUUGGCCAGAGACCGAUAGCGCACAAGUAGAGUGAUCGAAAGAUGAAAAGCACUUUGGAAAGAGAGUCAAACAGCACGUGAAAUUGUUGAAAGGGAAGCGCUUGCAGCCAGACUUGCUUACAGUUGCUCAUCCGGGUUUCUACCCGGUGCACUCUUCUGUAGGCAGGCCAGCAUCAGUUUGGGCGGUAGGAUAAAGGUCUCUGUCACGUACCUCCUUUCGGGGAGGCCUUAUAGGGGAGACGACAUACUACCAGCCUGGACUGAGGUCCGCGCAUCUGCUAAGAUGCUGGCGUAAUGGCUGUAAGCGGCCCGUCCUGAAACACGGACCAAGGAGUCUAACGUCUAUGCGAGUGUUUGGCUGUCAAGCCCG
This 474-nucleotide ribosomal RNA is filed under the name Alternaria angustiovoidea. Its description in RNAcentral is "partial large subunit ribosomal RNA". It matches the Rfam family "Eukaryotic large subunit ribosomal RNA", at positions 220 to 710 of the family's 3401-position model. The record is from RNAcentral. Lineage: Eukaryota; Fungi; Ascomycota; Dothideomycetes; Pleosporales; Pleosporaceae.